GGGUAGAGCUCAGUGGUAGAGUGUGUGCUUAGCAUGCAGGAGGUCCUGGGUUCCAUCCCCAGUACCUCCA
RNAcentral lists this transfer RNA (70 nucleotides) under Camelus bactrianus (Bactrian camel). It matches the Rfam family "tRNA". From Rfam's summary of the family: Transfer RNA (tRNA) molecules are approximately 80 nucleotides in length. The record is from Rfam by way of RNAcentral. RNAcentral also lists the same sequence under 3 other names. Lineage: Eukaryota; Metazoa; Chordata; Mammalia; Artiodactyla; Camelidae.